AAAGCGUGCGCAGGCGGUUAUGUAAGACAGAUGUGAAAUCCCCGGGCUCAACCUGGGAACUGCAUUAGUGACUGCAUAGCUGGAGUACGGCAGAGGGGGAUGGAAUUCCGCGUGUAGCAGUGAAAUGCGUAGAUAUGCGGAGGAACACCGAUGGCGAAGGCAAUCCCCUGGGCCUGUACUGACGCUCAUGCACGAAAGCGUGGGGAGCAAACAAGAUUAGAUACCCCUGU
Molecule: ribosomal RNA, 230 nt
Filed under: uncultured bacterium
Lineage: Bacteria
Description: partial 16S ribosomal RNA
Rfam family: Bacterial small subunit ribosomal RNA
Source: RNAcentral